GCUUUUGAUGAUGGUAGAGAGGAAGAUGUUGUUGAGCUCGACUUUGAAUUCAGAGACAUCACAAUUUUUUUGAAUAGUGUUCCACUGAAUCCCCAAGUCAAUUAAGCCAUUAGAGCAGCUCAUGCUCAUGGAUGUGAUUGAAGGUACUUGGUGAUGCGAAUAAGUUUUUCAUUGAAACAAUCCCAAAAAGUUGUCAAACAUAUGGAUAGCCAGAUGUCAAAAAACAAAGAAACUGGACAAGGGAUGUUCGAGAAUUAAAUUCUGAACAGCCUCACGAGCGUUAAAUUUAGAAAAGGAGAAUAAUUCUUGGUUUGGUUGUUCAUGCAGACUGAUUGAACCCAAAGACAUGUAAUGAAUGAACUCAUUCGACACACAUGAAGAUACAUAAAAGGAACCCACCAGGACAUGGUGACUUUUUCCCAUCUUUGAUGAACAGUGGGAAACUUGAAGCACUUUUGUCUCAGGUUUGACAUUGAUAUAUUCAUGUUGGUUUGGUCGGGUCCAGUUUUGAUCGGGUAUAGGUGGAACAGGAUCCGGUGAUUCUAGGUCAGGUCUGGUUCGGUUA
This 565-nucleotide long non-coding RNA is filed under the name Helianthus annuus (common sunflower). Its description in RNAcentral is "hypothetical non coding rna". The record is from RNAcentral. Lineage: Eukaryota; Viridiplantae; Streptophyta; Magnoliopsida; Asterales; Asteraceae.